UCACAUGAUUUAACUAUGACAGGAUCAAACAAUACUAGCGAAGGUGGGAAACCUUUCACUUCAAGUAAGUAUCAUAACAAAACAUAACACUUCAAAUUAAACAAAAACACGCCAAAAACAAAAUAGCGACUUCAACCAAGAACAACAAACACACUCGCAGAAUAACUGAAGAGUCCCACUAACACUUGCCCCACUCGAAACCCGACGGGACCUCCUUAGCACAGCUGUUAAGAACAAAGUUCAAGGAGGGCAAUAAUGUAUCAAAGUUAACACCCAAGAAGGAAGUUUUAACAGAAUUGCAAAGGCAUACUGCGGCCUCAAAGUUAGCAAGUCCAAAGAAGAUGCUGCAACAAGAUGCUGCAACAAGGUUCGGUUGGCGGGGUUCCUAGUUGUACGCUACCGAGAAAGUUAUUCAGCACGCCGGCACAUGCACCGAACUGGAAUCCGUUUCUAGGGCAAGUGGCUUGAGCAGAUACUGGGUCUGAACUUAACAAAGCGAAGAACAGAAUGUUGAGAGUGAGGAGAAAUGCAGUUGUUUUCAAAGCCAUUAUGGGACUGUGGAAUGUGAAGUGAAAACUAGCUUCCUUAGAAGUAUUUAAAGGUAGUUGCUAG
Molecule: long non-coding RNA, 612 nt
Filed under: Helianthus annuus (common sunflower)
Lineage: Eukaryota; Viridiplantae; Streptophyta; Magnoliopsida; Asterales; Asteraceae
Description: sRNA HanXRQr2_Chr13g0578071
Source: RNAcentral